ACCCGCACCACCAAGCAAUUAAGCUGUCAAGGGCAAACACCUAGCUACUACCAUCCUCUAAUCUCUCCCUAGCAUCCAGCAGCAGAAAACUAGCUGACAAUGUUUCGGCGCACCAAGACCACCAUGGCCGCGCCAGCGCCACCACCUACUGACGGCGAGGUGAGGAUUCAGAAAGUUGACAAGAUCGAGCUCGUCUACAACAUCCUUUCCAAGCCGAAACUGUACAAGGCGACUGCGGGAACCGGGAAGCAUCCUGCCGCUGGACAUGAUCAGGCAUCGGGCUGGAAGAAGACCGAGAACCCCAGCAGGCCUGCCUGCUAGGAGUGUGUUUUCUGUGGAAGACAUCAACAAGAGGUCUGAAACGUACAUCACGGAGAUGAAGAAACGGUUUCUUGGCUAGCUAUAUAUAGCAGCAGCUGAGCCUGUGAUGAUGACAAGAGGUGAAGAUCUGGCAGUCAGUACUGGUGUCAUCCAUGCAUGGAAUUGGUUUGGCUAUAGCCUAUAUGUAUAUAUUUGAUAUUACCAUGUGGAAUGGAAUAUUUGAGAGACUGUGCUCUAGUUAUAUUUGCGUUUAUGUAUGAUAUAUGCAUGUUAUGUACAUUAUAUAUAGAGAGAACAUAACGUUGAGUAACAAGCUUAUUAGUAUGAGUAUGAGUAUACAUGAUGCCUG
RNAcentral lists this long non-coding RNA (670 nucleotides) under Zea mays. Its description in RNAcentral is "drought-responsive long non-coding RNA". Lineage: Eukaryota; Viridiplantae; Streptophyta; Magnoliopsida; Poales; Poaceae. The record is from RNAcentral.